UCCCUGAUAGCUAGGUUGGUAAAGAAUCUGCCUGCAAUGCAGAAGACCCCGGUUCAAUUCCUGGGUUGGGAA
Molecule: transfer RNA, 72 nt
Filed under: Bos taurus (domestic cattle)
Lineage: Eukaryota; Metazoa; Chordata; Mammalia; Artiodactyla; Bovidae
Also listed under: 5 other names
Rfam family: tRNA
About the family: Transfer RNA (tRNA) molecules are approximately 80 nucleotides in length. Their secondary structure includes four short double-helical elements and three loops (D, anti-codon, and T loops).
Source: Rfam by way of RNAcentral